RNAcentral lists this long non-coding RNA (800 nucleotides) under Cyanistes caeruleus (blue tit). RNAcentral describes it as "lncRNA (ENSCCEG00000014811.1)". The record is from RNAcentral. Lineage: Eukaryota; Metazoa; Chordata; Aves; Passeriformes; Paridae.
UCCCUGUGACCUUUUUUUCUUCCUUCCCAUCCAGGUUUAAAACUAUCUCUGAAGUAUCAUCAAAGUAAUAAAGGAAAUGGCUAAAAUUCCACUAAAGUAAGGUAAAUAUUGUUUUUAAACAUUGGAUUAGAGUAAAUCUAAUCCGGCCUGCACAGUUAGGGAUUCAGUGCUCUCCACAGCACUACCUCAAUUCCCAGAAAGAAUGAUUGUAAGCUGAAAUAUAAUAUUCUGCCAGGAAAUCACUAGUUCCGAGUUAUUAGAUUCCAGCCCUGGUUGAGACUGAGGUAAGGAGACAGCACAGGAAGCACUCAGAGUUCUUCGUAAGUGUGGCUCAACAUUUUUAAAAUAGUCUGCUUUCAAAGGUAAUGAAGAUGAUGGACUGCAGCAACUGAACUGCAGGUGCAAAGAGACCCUCCUGCAAACUGUGAUUGUUUCUCCUUUUCCUGUUGAAAGUGCUGCUUUCUGAUACGGGAGAAGCAGAAGACCUAGAAGACAUGAUUGCUUGAACGUUUUUACUUCUUGAAUGUCACGUUUUGAGGCUGAUGCACCCACCUACAAGGCCUCUCAGAGCAGUUCUGUUGCUGGAUGUUGGCUCCCUGCAUCUGGCCAUUAUGAAGCCCAUCUAAACAACUGCACUUGUGAUGAAGACACUUUCAGAGGUAAUAAAUAAUUACCUCUGAAAUAAGGGUGAUAUAAUAUUUAUGUGCACAACAAAAAUGGGUAUCAGAACUUAAAGUGAACCAGAUGGCUUAAGAAAGGACUCUGAACUGGAGGAUUUAAAAAUGCCCUUUGACUGUCAA